AAAAACAUUUCCUCUUGGUAUAAGAGGUAAGGCCUGCUCACUGACUAGGUUGAAGAGCCGCAGUAUAUUGACUGUGCUAAGGUAGCAUAAUCAUUAGUCCUUUAAUUGGGGACUGGUAUGAAUGGCUAAACGAGAAAUUAGCUUUCUUUGUUAUGGUUUGUUGAAUUUAACUUGUAAGUGAAAAGGCUUACAUGAUUCAGAAAGACGAGAAGACCCUAUAGAGUUUUACAAAGGCCUAAAAUACAGCUUAUUAGUUUUUAAGGGUUAUAUUUUGGAAAUUUGUUUGGUUGGGGCGACAUAAAGAUAAAAAAAACUCUUUGUAGUAUAAACUUUGGUGGAAGAAAAGGUUUGAUCCUCUAAAAGGGAUUAUAAGAAAAAAUUACCUUAGGGAUAACAGCGUAAUCUUCUUUUAGAGUCCAAAUCGACAAGAAGGUUUGCGACCUCGAUGUUGGACUAAAAUUUGGGCAAGGUGCAGCAGCUUUGUUUUUGGGUCUGUUCGACCCGUAAUAUUUUACAUGAUCUGAGUU
RNAcentral lists this ribosomal RNA (527 nucleotides) under Capitulum mitella. Its description in RNAcentral is "partial large subunit ribosomal RNA". It matches the Rfam family "Bacterial large subunit ribosomal RNA", at positions 1809 to 2611 of the family's 2925-position model. The record is from RNAcentral. Lineage: Eukaryota; Metazoa; Arthropoda; Thecostraca; Pollicipedomorpha; Pollicipedidae.